This 497-nucleotide ribosomal RNA is filed under the name uncultured bacterium. RNAcentral's name for it is "partial 16S ribosomal RNA". It matches the Rfam family "Bacterial small subunit ribosomal RNA", at positions 28 to 507 of the family's 1533-position model. The record is from RNAcentral.
GAUGAACGCUGGCGGCGUGCCUAAUACAUGCAAGUCGAGCGAACAGACGAGGAGCUUGCUCCUCUGACGUUAGCGGCGGACGGGUGAGUAACACGUGGAUAACCUACCUAUAAGACUGGGAUAACUUCGGGAAACCGGAGCUAAUACCGGAUAAUAUAUUGAACCGCAUGGUUCAAUAGUGAAAGACGGUUUUGCUGUCACUUAUAGAUGGAUCCGCGCCGCAUUAGCUAGUUGGUAAGGUAACGGCUUACCAAGGCAACGAUGCGUAGCCGACCUGAGAGGGUGAGCGGCCACACUGGAACGGAGACACGGUCCAGACUCCUACGGGAGGCAGCAGUAGGGAAUCUUCCGCAAUGGGCGAAAGCUUGACGGAGCAACGCCGCGUGAGUGAUGAAGGUCUUCGGAUCGUAAAACUCUGUUAUUAGGGAAGAACAAAUGUGUAAGUAACUAUGCACGUCUUGACGGUACCUAAUCAGAAAGCCACGGCUAACUACGUG